GAAAGCAGUAGUGUCUAUGGCUGUACCACCCUGAACACAUCUGAUCUCAAAAGUUAAGCAGCAUUGGGCCUAGUUAGUACUUCAUACUUGGGUGGGAGGUUACCUGGGAAUCCUGGAUGCACUGUUUUCU
Molecule: non-coding RNA, 130 nt
Organism: Alligator mississippiensis (American alligator)
Lineage: Eukaryota; Metazoa; Chordata; Crocodylia; Alligatoridae
Source: Rfam